ACUUGCAACAUUGUAUCAAUUAUUCUGGGCCAGUGAGCUCUGGAUAGACAGACACAGCUGUGGACUAUUUGAUCAAGGGAUAAGAAGUAAUCGGGAAGAGCAUACUACAGUGAGAGGGAGUACCUGUUAAUUGAAAUGCAUUCCAGGACCUGAACCCUAGGACCAUGCCCCAGGACUACCUGACAUGAUGACUCCUUGCUGUCCCCAGUCCACCUGGCCGUGCUGCUGCUCCAGUUUUAACUGUUCUGCCUUAUUAUUAUACGACCAUGCUGGUCAUUUAUGAACAUUUGAACAUCUUGGCCAUGUUCUGUUAUAAUCUCC
Oncorhynchus tshawytscha (Chinook salmon) is the source of this 321-nucleotide long non-coding RNA. The record is from Ensembl. NCBI's taxonomy places the organism in Eukaryota, Metazoa, Chordata, Actinopteri, Salmoniformes, Salmonidae.